This 1332-nucleotide ribosomal RNA is filed under the name Triticum aestivum (bread wheat). RNAcentral describes it as "partial small subunit ribosomal RNA". The record is from RNAcentral. Lineage: Eukaryota; Viridiplantae; Streptophyta; Magnoliopsida; Poales; Poaceae.
AUGCUUCGUGCUCUGUUUCUCUUGCUUGCCACCGCCGCCCCACUGUCCGGCCAUGCGGCCGCCGGCACCGGCAGCGGCGACAAGCCGACCCCGCCGUGCUCGCCCGCCGACCGUGCCGCCCUGCUCGGCUUCAAGGCCGGCAUCACCGUGGACACCACGGGCAUCCUGGCCACGUGGGCCGGCGACGACUGCUGCGGCGGCGGGUGGGAGGGCGUGGCCUGCGCCGCCGCCACCGGGAGGGUCGUGUCGCUGCGCCUGCAGUCGCAGCCGGGUCGAUACAUGAACGGCACCAUCUCCCCCUCCAUCGGCGGCCUCGAGUUCCUGGAGUCCCUGGUGGUCCGCGACAUGGGGCGGAUCGGAGGCGUCAUCCCGGACGCGCUCUCGCGGCUGGUGCGCCUCCAGCAGCUCUACCUCGAGGGCAACGCGCUGGCCGGCGGCGUCCCCGGGAAGGUGCUGUCCAGGAUGACCUCCCUCCGCUACCUCUCGCUCGCCGGCAACCGGCUGGAGGGCCGGCUGCCGCGGGAGCUCGGGGACGUUCGCGGUCUCCAGCAGAUCAACCUCGCCGGGAACCGCCUCACCGGCGGGAUCCCGUCGAGCUACGGGAGCCUGUCCAGCCUGGAGUACCUCGACAUGAGCAGCAACCUUUUGUCAGGCGUCGUCCCGGAAUUUCUUGGGCGGUUCAAGAACCUGGCGCUGCUGGACUUGAGCAACAACAGCUUCUCCGGCGAGAUGCCGGCGUCGCUCGGCGGCCUGCGGCACCUCGCCGACCUGUCGCUGAGCCACAACAAGAUCGCCGGCAGGAUUCCACCGCAGAUCGGCAGCCUCCGGUCUCUGAGUUCUCUCGCCCUCGAUGACAACCUGCUCGUAGGCCCCAUUCCGAAGUCACUGUUCGGCCUGCCGAAGCUGUGGCGCCUCGACCUGUCCAAGAACAAGCUCACCAGCGCGCUGCCUGACUUCGCCGGCGGCGGGAGCCUGAAGUGGCUCGACGUGUCGAGGAACGCCAUCGGUGGCCAGAUACCGAGCUCGAUCUCGAAGCUCGGGGACCUAGAGAGGCUGGACAUCUCCCGGAACAGAGUCGGGGGCGUCAUCCCGGCAACCAUGGCGGCCAUGGCGAGCUUGGAGUGGCUGGACCUCUCCAGCAACGCCAUCGUCGGGAGGAUACCGGACAACUUCACUGGAAUGACGGGCGUCCGGCACGCGAGCUUCAGAGGGAACAAGCUGUGCGGGCGGAUACCGCAGGCCCCGCCGUUCAACCGGUUCCCCGCGGCGGCGUACGCGCACAACCUGUGCCUGUGCGGCAAGCCGCUGCCGCCGUGCAGGAAGAUUAGUUAG